RNAcentral lists this transfer RNA (72 nucleotides) under Sphaerodactylus townsendi. RNAcentral's name for it is "tRNA-Ala". It matches the Rfam family "tRNA". From Rfam's summary of the family: Transfer RNA (tRNA) molecules are approximately 80 nucleotides in length. Their secondary structure includes four short double-helical elements and three loops (D, anti-codon, and T loops). The record is from RNAcentral. Lineage: Eukaryota; Metazoa; Chordata; Lepidosauria; Squamata; Sphaerodactylidae.
UGGGCAAUGGCUCAGUGGUACUGCAUCCGCUUUGCAUGCAGAAAGUUCCAGGUUCAACCCCUGGCAGCUUAG